Molecule: long non-coding RNA, 3046 nt
Filed under: Marmota monax (woodchuck)
Lineage: Eukaryota; Metazoa; Chordata; Mammalia; Rodentia; Sciuridae
Source: RNAcentral
GAGGCUGCUCCCCAGGGGACCCAUAACUGUCUCUGCAAGGAACAGCCCCGAGCCUGAGCACUUUAGGAUAUUCAAAGGCAAAAACUGCAAGAACCACAUCCGCGUUGACGUAGCUGCAAGGAAGCAGGUUCAGAGCUGGACUGGGCAGUCAGCGAGACAGCGCAAUGGGGGCCGGUAUUUCCCACGGGACUUUCCAGGUUGGCUGAGCAGCAAGCCAGCAGGAGGGAAGAGGGCCUGAAGAGAGCACUAGGAACCAGAGACGGCGAGCAAGAACGGCAGACGGAGACAGGCAGAGACACACGAGGGUCUACCUGUCAGAGCUGACAGGUAAAGGCCACGUCUCCAUGGGAGAGAGGCAGCACAGGCUUGGGUUCUGGGAUUUUUAUAGCUCAGGCUGAGGACUCAGAGCGGUGGGUCCUACGGGAGUUAAGGGUGGGGUUGGUAGGCGGGAGUGCUGGGCCUUUCUCAGAAAGGACCUUGGGCAGGAAGGCGAAAAUUUUUCCUUAAAAUGGCGGCUGUCUCUUGAGAUGGCUGUCCAGAUGCCAAGCAAGGACCUUAUAGGGUCAAAAUGGCCCGAGUUCAGUACACAUUAGAGAACAGUUACCAACGUCGACACAAUCAAUCUCUGUCAAGGUACAUUGCCCAAGAGAAAUGGAAACCAAAGCGACCAGUUUCACACUGUAUAAGGACUGCCAUUUGGGUUGCCAGGUGUGCUGUGCUAGGUGACUACUAACGGGCCCCGGCGGGGCUUCCCUGGGAGCAGCACUUCUUACAUGAUAUGGAGUCUCGGGGUAGCCUGGCCCACAACAGCAGCGGGUAGAGACCUCCAGUGUCUCACCUGCAAUCCCACAUCUCAGAAGCUCUGAAAGCCAAGUGCUUUUGGUUUAAGUUUCAUGAAAAGGCAGCGAGGCAAAGCCUGCCAACAGCGGAUCUAAGCUGCUUUCCAUCCUGGCUUAUCCGAAGGCGCGGUCACUUACACGUUUUGCCUGCCCGCUCAGCUGCUGCCCGUCCUCCUGUGAGUGCUGUGUUAUGCAGUUAAGGUGGCGCUCUACGUCCACAUUCCAAAGAGAGCGCGAGUCUACCCUCUGUCCUCCAAGGUUGGGGAACCUAUGAGGUCCUGGGAGUGGGCAGGGGCCUGGGCGAGAGGGCGUGGUGUGGAGUGCGGGGCCACCUCCAGCUCCACCUGGUGUCAGUCAGCUUUCUUCUCCUCUGAGGCCAAAGGACCCAAGAACGAUUUGAGGAGGAAAAGUUUAUUUUGUCUCAUGACUUCAGAGGUCUCAGUCCAUGGCUCUGGGCCCAAGGUGGGGUAGAAUAUCAUGGCAGAAGAACACGGCCGAGGGGAGGCUCAGGACAUGGCCACGAGGAAGCAGAGCAAGCUCCAGAGAGCUCUACUCUCCAGGGACAAAAUGUGGACCCCAGAGGCCAAGUCCCCAGAGGCCCAUCUCCUCCAGCCACACCCCCUGCCCACAGUGACGCGCAGUUAACCCCUCUCAUAACCCAAUCAUUUCCCCGCUGACAAUCAUUGCCCUCUGGUCCACGAGAGUCGGGGACACUGCCCGUCUAAGCACAGCAGUCCUGCUUUCUGACUUUCCUUGGAAGCUGCGGUGUGGGAUGUGAGUCCCAAGGCAGAUGCAUUUCUGAGAUUUGGAAGGCAGAACAGAAGUGGGGGCUGCUCCUGCGCUGCUGCGGAGGGCCGUGCCAGAGCAGGUGGGCAGUGAGGCGGAGUGCAGGGCCCAGGAGGAGCCCUUGCCCACCAGGGCGCUCUCCAGGAGGGUCUGCCGAGCUGUGAGUCGCAGCUGCCUCCUGGGGAACAAGGCCAGGUAGGUCCUCACAGGCUUUACUGUGUGCAACACAAACUGUUUAGGAAAGCGAGUGUUCCGAAGCUGUGUGCCUCAGGACGGACGCCUAUGCUGGGCUGCCCGCCGCAGCCUGGGCAGUGCUCCCGUCUGGGGCGAUGCUGUGUGAACAGACCCCUCUGCUGCCACUGCAGGAAACUGUCGCCCUGACAAUCUUGUGCAGAGACAGCCCUGGACAGUGGUGGCUGGCCGUCCCCAGCCCUGGGUCCAGCAGGCUUCUCCGGGUGUUUGUUUGCUCCUCUGUGGACAGGGCUUCUGGGGAUCGGCGUGAGGGCACCGCCAGCAGCCUCCCACCUCUCCUGCUGCAUCUGGAGGCCCCGCCCAGUGGCUGCCUAAGUCAGAGACUAAGUGCACCCUGGUGCUGGCACAGUGACAGAGCCACCAGAGGUGUGUCCCAGAGCAGACCCCGCCGCGGGGAUGCACAGCUGCUCCCUCCCUGUCUCCUGGCCUCUUUCCCUCCCCCACCUCAUGCGUGGUGUGAUGGUGACAGCCACAUCUGUAAUGCUAUCCCCAGGUACGGGAUGUCAAGGCACCACUGUGGCUGAAAUAGAACUGCCACCAGGCCGGACGCCACCAGGCGACCGGCACACUCUGUCCUUCCGCGUGGAGCACGAACAUGUUUCCAUGUGUCCGAGGCAUGGUGCCAUCGUGGUAGGGGCAGCGAUGGCGUUGCUUGUGUUUGAGUGUGGGUGGGAGGACUGGUGCUGAGGGCCAGAGUGGUGCCCACGCAGCUCAGCCUAACAUGCUGAGCUGGGGUGACCAGCUCGCCUCCUGUGGACACAGCUUAGUGUCUACUGAUGGGAUGCUUUUGGUCUCUGUGCUGAGCACCAUCUGGGACAGAUCCUUCCCACAGGACAGCUUCCAGCCUGCGCCACCCUCACCGUCAGCCUCCCGAGGGGGCCAAGGAGCUCUGGUUCCCAAUUUCCCAGGUGGCUUUCUGACUGGGAGGGACAGUGUCUCUUUUUGUAUUUUUGAAGACCUUCCUGAAAGCUCAACCUUGAGUUUGUUUCUUUUGCAGCAAAUCCCUGAGUACUGUGAUUCCAUCCCUGUAAGGCACCCACCCCUUCCUGCCUUGGCCAGCUAGAGGACAGGCUGUGUUCUCCAGGGCCAGCGAAGAGGAGUCCAGCCUCAGGCACGCCCUCAGGACACCCCAGGAAGCCGAGAGCCCAGAUAGAAUGCAGGGGGCAAAG